RNAcentral lists this ribosomal RNA (557 nucleotides) under Grosmannia aoshimae. RNAcentral describes it as "eukaryotic LSU rRNA". It matches the Rfam family "Eukaryotic large subunit ribosomal RNA", at positions 56 to 637 of the family's 3401-position model. The record is from RNAcentral. Lineage: Eukaryota; Fungi; Ascomycota; Sordariomycetes; Ophiostomatales; Ophiostomataceae.
GAAAAGAAACCAACAGGGAUUGCCCCAGUAACGGCGAGUGAAGCGGCAACAGCUCAGAUUUGGAAUCUGGCCUUCGGGCCCGAGUUGUAAUCUGGAGAGGAUGCUUCUGGCGCGGUGCCUUCCGAGUUCCCUGGAACGGGACGCCGGAGAGGGUGAGAGCCCCGUACGGUUGGACACCUAGCCUUUGUGAAGCUCCUUCGACGAGUCGAGUAGUUUGGGAAUGCUGCUCAAAAUGGGAGGUAAAUUUCUUCUAAAGCUAAAUAUUGGCCAGAGACCGAUAGCGCACAAGUAGAGUGAUCGAAAGAUGAAAAGCACUUUGAAAAGAGGGUUAAAAAGUACGUGAAAUUGUUGAAAGGGAAGCGCCCGUGGCCAGACUUGCGCUGCGCGGACCACCCAGCGUUCUCGCUGGUGCACUCCGCGCGGCGCAGGCCAGCAUCGGUUUUCCUAGGGGGAUAAAGGUUGCGGGAACGUAGCUCCUUCGGGAGUGUUAUAGCCCGUGGCGUCAUGCCCCUGGGGGGACCGAGGACCGCGCUUCGGCAAGGAUGCUGGCGUAAUGG